This is a non-coding RNA of Pelobates cultripes (western spadefoot toad), 626 nucleotides long. NCBI's taxonomy places the organism in Eukaryota, Metazoa, Chordata, Amphibia, Anura, Pelobatidae. The record is from the annotation of a GenBank genome assembly.
CAUUACUGUGUUUACUGUAUGUAUACUUUUUACAUUCUGUUGUCAUUUUCAGUUAGCUGUACUGUUAGUAAUACUUUCAGGGUCCUUAAAAAUACCCAUACAUCCCAAGUUUCCCCUUUUAGGAGGGAAAGUCCUAUUUUGGGCCAAAACCCAUUGUCCCUCUUUUUUAGGAACUUCAUAUUGUUGGUGUGUCUUGUAGUAUAACUGAGCUCCACAACAAUAAUAUUAAAUUUAAACUACAAUAAAUGUAUUAAGAAAUCAGUCUGUUUAAAUAAGAUACAUUUUUCUUAUUAUAAAUUAUAUUUGAGUUACAUAAAUUGUUAUUAAUAAUUCUAAAAUUUCUCAGAGCAGCCCUGCCCCUGGCUGCACCACCACUCACACCCACAAAAUGAAAGUGUUCCUCUUUGUCCUUUUGAAAUGUUGGGAGGUAUGCAAAUACCUAUAAACAGACUAGUUUUAUUUUUCUAUAUUUGUCAUACCUGCUGUAUAUGAGAAAAAUAUUAUUUUUGCCUACAUUCCAUUUCAAACAUGGUGUGAAAUAUUGCAAAAUUAAGAACACUUUAUACUGUCUAAAACUUUCAUUCCCCAAAAGAUUGCCAUAAAGGAUGAAUGAACAAAUGAAAAAU